Molecule: ribosomal RNA, 415 nt
Filed under: uncultured bacterium
Lineage: Bacteria
Description: bacterial SSU rRNA
Rfam family: Bacterial small subunit ribosomal RNA
Source: RNAcentral
GAGCUCGCACAAGUGGUGGAGCAUGUGGUUUAAUUCGAUACAACGCGCAAAACCUUACCAGCCCUUGACAUACAAGAGAAUCUUUCCAAAAAAGAAAGCAAAUACCUUGUACAGGCGCUGCAUGGCUGUCGGAAGCUCGUGCCGUGAGGUGUGAGGUUAAGUCCUCGAACGAGCGAAACCCUUAUGGUGUAUUACAAACGCAAUUCGUUGCUUACACCACACUGCCGGUGAUAUACUGGAGGAAGGUGAGGAUGACGUCAAGUCCGCAUGGCCCUUAUGGGCUGGGCUACACACGUGCUACAAUGGCAAUGACAAAAGGAAGCAAUGAUGAGAGUCGGAGCAAAACCCAAAACCUUGCCAUGUUCGGAUUGUUCUCUGCAACUCGGGAACAUGAAGGUGGAAUCACUAGUAAUCG